This 727-nucleotide long non-coding RNA is filed under the name Rattus norvegicus (Norway rat). RNAcentral's name for it is "long non-coding RNA NONRATT023993". The record is from RNAcentral. Lineage: Eukaryota; Metazoa; Chordata; Mammalia; Rodentia; Muridae.
CCAAAUAUAUUUGAGGACAAAUGUGGUAUAGACAGGGGCGAAGCUGACACGCAUACAAGAAAGACCGACGCCAUCUCUACAGGGAAGCCAGAGAUGCAUCGUUCAGGUGGCUGAAACUGUCACACAGUUGCAUUCACAGCCAUGUCGCACCUGACAAAUCCAUUCGAAAAAUAGAAGAAUUGAUCCGUUAUGCACUUAAAGAAACAGAAAAACAUAAGAGUUUAUCUCUCAUUCUUAAGUAGCUGCUAUCUAUAACCAGUGUGCCAGUGUGGAUUUCCACACCUGAGAGCGGUCAGGGCUUCAUUGUUUGCUGAGGUUGCUUCCCCAGAGAUAAAAGUUGCAUGUAGCCCAAAAAAAAGUCGUAUGCAGGUCUCCUAGGAAAUUAAAGUGACUUGGAAGCAGUCUUAAUACUCUAGGGGUUUGCCAAUUAUUUAAUUAAUAAUUUGGAUUAUAUACGAAUAUAACAAAGUUUUUUUUUUCUUUUUUCUUUUUUUUUUUUUCCGGAGCUGGGGACCGAACCCAGGGCCUUGCGCUUCCUAGGUGGUUUGUUCUGGAUGCAGAAACAAGAGAUCUGGUAUCAAUCCACACAGAUGGGAAUGAGCAGCUCUCGGUGAUGCGCUACUCAGUGGAUGGUACUCUUCUGGCUGUGGGAUCUCAUGACAACUUUAUUUACCUCUAUGCAGUCUCAGAAAAUGGAAGAAAAUACAGCAGAUAUGGAAAGUGCACU